Cyprinus carpio carpio is the source of this 680-nucleotide long non-coding RNA. The record is from Ensembl. Lineage: Eukaryota; Metazoa; Chordata; Actinopteri; Cypriniformes; Cyprinidae.
UAAACAAUUUGACACCCUCAUGACAGUCGCCGCAAUACAUUUAUAUCGUUUUACCGUCAUAAAAGUACAAUUUCUGCUGAUGACAGCUGAAUGACAGACACAUAAUGUCACUUAACAGCACAUAUUUCAUCCCAGCCACAAAAACAACCGGCACGCGCUGUGAUAAAGUGAAUUGACUGUCACGCGACUCACCUAAUAUGGGAUGUUUGGACCGUUACUCCACAACAUAAGCAUGUGGACAGACAUUGACUGUAAUGAUGGACAUCUUCUGAUGCACAGGUCCACCUCUCCUCCAUUUCCACCUCUUAGUUCAGCCUUAAUCUCCAGCUCUGUUACCGCCCCAGAUAUGUUGGCUACUCAGCCCAUGCUUCUCAUCUGUUUUAUCGCCCCAGGCUUCAUCAAUACUCAACUCAGCUUGAUCAACUCAUUCUUUUCUAUAGUCUCACAUCAGGACCACAGACAGACACCCAGAACUUUGUGUUUGCCAUGAGAUUUUACAGAUCUUUGCAUGUACAACUUCAAGACCCAUCCAGAGUUCCUCAUCAAUGACACUGACACAGAAGAUCCUCUUCUUUUCCCAUAAAUGAAGGCACAAAUGCUUUAUGACAGGAACUCCUGGUUAUCACUUACAUAACAUGGCACAAAACCGCCCCUCAUAUUUGAUGUUAUGAAAAAUCCAC